This 663-nucleotide ribosomal RNA is filed under the name uncultured bacterium. RNAcentral's name for it is "bacterial SSU rRNA". It matches the Rfam family "Bacterial small subunit ribosomal RNA", at positions 93 to 740 of the family's 1533-position model. The record is from RNAcentral.
UAGUGGCGUACGGGUGAGUAACACGUGGGCAACCUGCCCUCGAGCUCGGGAUACCCUUUCGAAAGGAAGGCUAAUACCGGAUACGCUCCUCGGGUCGUUGGAUCUGGGGAGGAAAGGUGGCGAAAGCUGCCGCUCUUGGAGGGGCUCGCGGCCUAUCAGCUAGUUGGUGAGGUAACGGCUCACCAAGGCGAUGACGGGUAGCUGGUCUGAGAGGACGAUCAGCCACACGGGAACUGAGACACGGUCCCGACUCCUACGGGAGGCAGCAGUGGGGAAUUUUCCGCAAUGGGCGAAAGCCUGACGGAGUGACGCCGCGUGGGGGACGAAGGCCUUCGGGUUGUAAACCCCUGUCAGAGGGAAAGAAGGGUGUCGGCGUGAAUAGCGCCGGCAUCUGACGGUACCUUCAGAGGAAGCCCCGGCCAACUCUGUGCCAGCAGCCGCGGUAAGACAGAGGGGGCAAGCGUUGCUCGGAAUCACUGGGCGUAAAGGGCGCGUAGGCGGGAUGGCAAGUCGGUCGUGAAAUCCCUCGGCUCAACUGAGGAGAGUCGGCCGAUACUGCUGUUCUUGAGGGAUGCAGAGGAGACUGGAAUUCCCGGUGUAGCGGUGAAAUGUGUAGAGAUCGGGAGGAACACCGGUGGCGAAGGCGGGUCUCUGGGCAUCUCC